Molecule: microRNA precursor, 65 nt
Filed under: Mytilus galloprovincialis (Mediterranean mussel)
Lineage: Eukaryota; Metazoa; Mollusca; Bivalvia; Mytilida; Mytilidae
Description: mir-29 microRNA precursor family
Rfam family: mir-29 microRNA precursor family
About the family: This family represents the microRNA (miRNA) precursors mir-29. Animal miRNAs are transcribed as ~70nt precursors and subsequently processed by the Dicer enzyme to give a ~22nt product. In this case the mature sequence comes from the 3' arm of the precursor.
Source: Rfam by way of RNAcentral
AGGACCCUGACUUCAUUUGGUGGAUAGAUUCAUUUACUUCUAGCACCAUUUGAAAUCAGUUUUCU